CCCACUGCAGCAGCGGUGGCAGUGCUUGUGGAAGUGGGGGAGAACAGCUUUGCAUGUGUAACUUUUGCUUUUCUUCUUAAACUGCUUCUAUGUCAAGCCACAAGUUUUCUCAGCAUUAACCUUUCAGUCCUCUCCAAGCAAUGAGUGAGCAGCAGUGUGGCAUGGAGUUCCUGGCCAGGGGUUAAGCAUGACAUGGUUCCUCCAUGGGUGUCAAAGGAUUGCAAACCCAGCACAGCCACAGGGCACGCUCGGAUGAUAGAAGGGGCACCAGGUACCAUUACUGCCUCUGCCCUCACACUGUGCUCAGGGCUCCCAUGGGUGCACCCACUGUGUGCACACCUGAGCAAGACCCUGGGCUUGGGCUUGAGUCUUGGCCUCGAGGCCAAGGCCACCCUUUCCCGUGCUCCUCUCCCCAGUGCCCUGCUGUGGGGUGCUGGGGAUCCCACACAGUGACUGUUCCAGGGCCACAGGCCCUGCUGACCACUCCUGUGUCCAGAGCAGAUAUCUCGGCAGCAGCUAAAUACCUUCCUGCUUUGUUCCCUGAGUUUUACCUGGCAGAAUGUGACAGAUCUUGGGAUGAAAUGAGUGAAUGCAUGAAAUGUAUCACACAAUACUAAGGUGGACAAUGCCAGCUGGGAAGAACACACCUCACCUGUCUUACUCUGUUGCUGAUGCUGUGAAUGCUUUGCAUCUGAAGCAGCUUUGCCUUUUGCAGACAGAAGGAGAGAAUUUUACUGUUCAAAACAGUUGAAAGAAAAAUGGACUCUCACAUGUAAUGAUACAUCAUGGGCUCUGUUGCCAUUCCAAGUCAUUGUAAUGGAAAGAAUGAGACAAAGACUGUGAUCCCAGUGGGAGGUCUGCUAUUCUUGGCCUUUGUUUUCCUUCUGCUCUUUCACUUCCAGCUAUGGAUUCUUCUCAGAAGAGUGGAGUAAGGAGAUCAACAGCUUUAUUGGGUACACAGACAUAAUAUAUUCUGAUUCUGAUCUUGGAUAUCUUUCUCUUUUUUAAAAAGGCUGCCUUAAAUAAAUGAGUUGCAGAUAAUUCAGCUUCUCAUAGAAGACAAAGAUGUGAAUAUUCUGUUUAACAAAAUCACAUAGAAAACAAAAAUACCAAAUCAAACAGUUAUGCUUUAUUGCAAUGCACAUAAAACUUAGAUUUUACUUCAUUGGAAGUAUCUGAAAUUCCUCCUAACUAGAGGAAAGAUAAGAAAGAAGAGAAAAAUGGAACUUUCACUUAUAAAAACUCAUAGACAGAAGUUCCAAGACCCUAAAACAUUUUUCUAUUCAUCUGCUUAGCUGUGAACUCUCAAAAUGUUGGCUAGAACACCGUGGAAGGAAUAUUCAUGUUUUAAGGAAAAUAGAAGAUUAGAAGAAAAGGGCUUAAAUACUCUCAUUGAGUAAAUUUAUUUUGUACAAUUUGCACGCCUUUUAUAAACAAAUAAUACAUUUGGAUGCAUACAACUACUCAUCUUUGGCAUGUAUAUAUGAGAGUGAGAUGUAGCCAACACACAACUGUGCAAAUUAAGGAACACAAUGUUGCCUAGAAAUGAUGCUUUUCUUUGAAAAGAUGAGUAAUAUUCCAAGAUGAAAACAAUUAGUAUUGGACUCAUAUCAUAUUUUUUCCAAUACUUUCAAAAGAACUGGAAAACCAAGAGACAUACUACAAUAAACUUAUAAAAACAAAAACAUGAAAGGAAAAUUAGUGAAGCUAUUGAGAGCUGAGUAUCUAAAUUUGGGCUUCUGAGUAUACAGUAAAGCAUCUGUAUAUUAGACCUACUUUUCCAAAGGGCUGAGAUGGCGGCAUCUUCUAUUAAAACAGACAUUUUUGAAAGCGUGAUGACCUACUUAUUGUUUUCACCUGGAUUUCAGCUCAUAAUGCUAAAUUUCCAUGUUCAUUAGCCCUUGGGAAAGAAACAUAAAUUCUCUGCAAGUAGUAGAACAUUAAGAUGAAAGGAAAUGCAAAAAGGAAAAAUAAAUAUAGUAGUAAAAAAAACCCACCUUGUAUUUUAUAAAUCUGAGAUGUCAGCUUUUACCUCAGUUCUUUUGACUAUCAAGAAAAGCAAUGCUGUUAUUUCUCAUAUCCUUGUUUUUCCAGAAUACUACAAGGUAGGAUCAGACCUAAGUGUGAAACAUACUCAAAGAUUCAUUUUACCAUGGAAGCAUCCCUGAACCUGACCAGUUUAGCCUUAUCCACUCUGUUCACUUGUGCUUCACUUAGGCUGAGUCUUUCGAACGUCCCGUUACCAGUAAACAUCUGGGAAUCUUUUCUGCUUUAACUAGUGAUCUUCAUCUUGGAUGCUGAGAGUAUACUGUUCAAAGCCAACAAAAGUAGUCCCUACUUGCCUUGUUUCCUGAGUUUAAAUGCACAGUGAUAGAAUGGGCUCGAUUUAAGGUUAAUGGAAGUUAGCUUAUUGCACUAGGGCACUCUGCAUGAGAAUAUAGCUUUCCUUCCUUCAGUUCUUUGGGGAAACCCUCUAUAAAAAUAAAUACUUCAUACAUGCAUUUUGAUUCCAUAAUGUAACAUAGAACUUUUUAUGUACUAACAUAACAUAUGUUUAGGAAAACAUUAAAAUAUAUAUAAUAUAGGUAUUUUUUGCUGAGGCACAACUCUUUGUUGUUAUGCAAUAUAUUAUGUAUUGCCCAAUUCACAAUCCUUUUUUGGUGGUCUUCUGAUUGUUAUAGCAUGGCUCUAAAUAUUCACCACAAGCAAGAGGAAGCACCAUUCUCCAAUAGAAUGCCUCAGAAGGAGCAAGGCAGAGAUCAGAUACUGGCAUUCCAGAAAAAGUUACUAGAUUAGUUUCCUUGCAGGAAACCUUCUGGCAGUGAGGAUCAGGUGUCCUUUAUGCUGUGCAGAAGAACACUUUCACCCAUCUUGAUCCUGCUCUAACUGUGCAAAUCUGUGCUGUAUAAUACAACUUCAUGCUAAGAGACAUAAGUUAGUUUGUUUGGAACUGUUAGGGGUUUUUUGAGUUUGUUUUUUUGGUUUUUUUGGGGUUUUUUGGGUUUUUUUUGUGGUUUGUUCUGUUUCAUUUUGUUCUGGGUUUUUAUGUGUCUCUUUUUUUUUUUUUUUCCAUUAAUGGUACUGUUUAAGUUCUUUAGUGGUCUUAUGGAAGGUCUGGGAGCACAACUUUUCCUACACCAGAUUCCUCCACAGAUCACCUACAUAAAAGGAAAAGGAGAGACCCUAAAGGUGGGAUUGUCAUAAAUCAGGAAGAAAUAUGGGAUUCAGAACUUAAAAAAAAAAAAAAAAAAAAAAAAAA
Molecule: long non-coding RNA, 3259 nt
Organism: Passer domesticus (house sparrow)
Lineage: Eukaryota; Metazoa; Chordata; Aves; Passeriformes; Passeridae
Exons: 5
Source: RefSeq, a predicted model, not a curated record